RNAcentral lists this ribosomal RNA (485 nucleotides) under uncultured bacterium. RNAcentral's name for it is "partial 16S ribosomal RNA". It matches the Rfam family "Bacterial small subunit ribosomal RNA", at positions 30 to 507 of the family's 1533-position model. The record is from RNAcentral.
UUGAACGCUGGCGGCAUGCCUUACACAUGCAAGUCGAACGGCAGCACGGGUGCUUGCACCUGGUGGCGAGUGGCGAACGGGUGAGUAAUACAUCGGAACAUGUCCUGUAGUGGGGGAUAGCCCGGCGAAAGCCGGAUUAAUACCGCAUACGAUCCACGGAUGAAAGCGGGGGACCUUCGGGCCUCGCGCUAUAGGGUUGGCCGAUGGCUGAUUAGCUAGUUGGUGGGGUAAAGGCCUACCAAGGCGACGAUCAGUAGCUGGUCUGAGAGGACGACCAGCCACACUGGGACUGAGACACGGCCCAGACUCCUACGGGAGGCAGCAGUGGGGAAUUUUGGACAAUGGGCGAAAGCCUGAUCCAGCAAUGCCGCGUGUGUGAAGAAGGACUUCGGGUUGUAAAGCACUUUUGUCCGGAAAGAAAUCCUUGACUCUAAUACAGUCGGGGGAUGACGGUACCAGAAGAAUAAGCACCGGCUAACUACGUG